GCAGCACGGAGCUUGCUCUGGUGGCGAGUGGCGAACGGGUGAGUAAUGCGUCGGAACGUAUCCAAUAAUGGGGGAUAACGCAGCGAAAGCUGUGCUAAUACCGCAUACGCCCUCCGGGGGAAAGCAGGGGAUCGUAAGACCUUGCGUUAAUGGAGCGGCCGACGUCUGAUUAGCUAGUUGGUAGGGUAAAGGCCUACCAAGGCGACGAUCAGUAGCUGGUCUGAGAGGAUGAUCAGCCACACUGGGACUGAGACACGGCCCAGACUCCUACGGGAGGCAGCAGUGGGGAAUUUUGGACAAUGGGCGCAAGCCUGAUCCAGCCAUUCCGCGUGAGUGAAGAAGGCCUUCGGGUUGUAAAGCUCUUUCAGGAGGGAAGAAACGAUUGUGGCUAAUACCCAUGAUUAAUGACGGUACCUUCAGAAGAAGCACCGGCUAACUACGUGCCAGCAGCCGCGGUAAUACGUAGGGUGCGAGCGUUAAUCGGAAUUACUGGGCGUAAAGCGUGCGCAGGCGGUUUUUCAAGUCUGAUGUGAAAUCCCCGGGCUUAACCUGGGAACUGCGUUGGAAACUGAAAGACUAGAGUGCGGCAGAGGGGGGUAGAAUUCCACGUGUAGCAGUGAAAUGCGUAGAUAUGUGGAGGAAUACCGAUGGCGAAGGCAGCCCCCUGGGUCGACACUGACGCUCAUGCACGAAAGCGUGGGUAGCAAACAGGAUUAGAUACCCUGGUAGUCCACGCCCUAAACGAUGUCAACUAGUUGUUGGGGAGGGAGANCUCCUUAGUAACGCAGCUAACGCGUGAAGUUGACCGCCUGGGGAGUACGGUCGCAAGAUUAAAACUCAAAGGAAUUGACGGGGGCCCGCACAAGCGGUGGAUUAUGUGGAUUAAUUCGAUGCAACGCGAAAAACCUUACCUACCCNUNGA
This 922-nucleotide ribosomal RNA is filed under the name uncultured bacterium. RNAcentral describes it as "bacterial SSU rRNA". It matches the Rfam family "Bacterial small subunit ribosomal RNA", at positions 69 to 985 of the family's 1533-position model. The record is from RNAcentral.